Molecule: long non-coding RNA, 703 nt
Organism: Mugil cephalus (flathead mullet)
Lineage: Eukaryota; Metazoa; Chordata; Actinopteri; Mugiliformes; Mugilidae
Exons: 2
Source: RefSeq, a predicted model, not a curated record
UGAAACUGCUGCUCGUCUUCGUGACAUCUUAACAAGGCCUGGUCGCGUUGUUUACCGACAAGUGUUUUCAUUUGUGGCAGCCUACUGGGAUCCAGACCAGGAACGGGUGACCACAGGGGAGCUGGAGGGGGGAGUCAGGGCACACUGUCUGCCUCUCAUCUGCCUCAUCUGCCCCAACUAAUCCUGCCAUAAAAGCCGGGGUCGCUACAGGUGCUGUGUGGUGUCAGGGGCCCCCGGUGAGCAGCUCCUCGCUCCUGUCACCUCUACUAACACCGGCCCUCGUCAGCAGGGGCCGAGCGCCAGCGCUGCAGCCUCCCACUCCUCCUGUCACCUGUCCUCACGCAGGCCAAGGUGACUUUGUUCCCUCCUGAUGGAAAAAUGACAGCUACUGCAGCUACAACAUCCGAAAAAGUCAGGGAGCAACCAGUUGGCUUCUCUGUCCUUUUCUCUCAGCCUCUGUUUCUCCUUUCUCACCCCUCCCUCCCUCCCUCCUUUCCUCCUUUCCUCCCUCCCACUGUGUUUUACUCUGUACAUUUUGUGCUGCUUUUAAAUCCGCCUGAAAAUUCACUUUACUUGGUGGUGUUUUUUUGUUUUUUUUUUCCUUCAGCAUACUUGUCAGCAGAGUGCUGCUGUGUAUGUGAUAUGUCUAGCCCUUCCUCAGUAAAGCUUAUUAUUGCAUUAUUAUGUCGUGAUUUGCAAUAAC